AUAUAUCCUUAUUUAUUUAAGUUCUAUUGCUAUUAUUCUUUGGAUCGUCUCUUUUAUUGUUGUAUAUUUGGAGCAAAAUUACUAUGGGAAAGACCACUUGUUUUGCCCCUCAGUGCUACAUGUUUUUGUUACUGGUGGAACAAGAAACAGAAUCUUUUUAAAUUCUCUCUUUUUGUUUUUUCUAUUUAUUUUUUUUUAAAGAAAACUUUUAGCAAACUGUUGCCUAGAGACAUGAGGAA
RNAcentral lists this unclassified non-coding RNA (239 nucleotides) under Hevea brasiliensis (rubber tree). The record is from RNAcentral. Lineage: Eukaryota; Viridiplantae; Streptophyta; Magnoliopsida; Malpighiales; Euphorbiaceae.